Molecule: ribosomal RNA, 414 nt
Filed under: uncultured microorganism
Description: bacterial SSU rRNA
Rfam family: Archaeal small subunit ribosomal RNA
Source: RNAcentral
CAGCCGCCGCGGUAAUACCGGCGGCCCGAGUGGCGGUCACUAUUAUUGGGCUUAAAGCGUCCGUAGCCGGGUUGGGAAGUCCUCCGGGAAAUCUGGCCGCUUAACGGUCAGAAUGCCGGAGGAUACUCCCAGCCUAGGGAGCGGGGGAGGCCGAGGGGAUUCCCGGGGUAGGGGGGGAAUCCUAUAAUCCCCGGAGGACCACCUGUGGCGAAGGCGCUCGGCUGGAACGCGUCCGACGGUGAGGGACGAAGGCCAGGGGAGCAAACCGGAUUAGAUACCCGGGUAGUCCUGGCUGUAAACGAUGCGGACUUUGUGUCGGACAAGCUAUGAGCUUGUCCGGUGCCGGAGGGAAACCGUUAAGUCCGCCGCCUGGGGAGUACGGCCGCAAGGCUGAAACUUAAAGGAAUUGGCGGG